RNAcentral lists this ribosomal RNA (420 nucleotides) under uncultured bacterium. RNAcentral's name for it is "bacterial SSU rRNA". It matches the Rfam family "Bacterial small subunit ribosomal RNA", at positions 356 to 773 of the family's 1533-position model. The record is from RNAcentral.
AAGGAAUAUUGGACAAUGGCCGCAAGGCUGAUCCAGCCAUGCCGCGUGCAGGAAGACGGACCUAUGGUUUGUAAACUGCUUUUGAACUAGAGAAAACCCCUUUACGUGUAAAGGGCUGAUAGUAUAGUUAGAAUAAGCAUCGGCUAACUUCGUGCCAGCAGCCGCGGUAAGACGAAGGAUGCAAGCGUUAUCCGGAUUCAUUGGGUUUAAAGGGAGCGUAGGCGGACUUGUAAGUCAGUGGUGAAAUCUUUGGGCUUAACCCAGAAACUGCCAUUGAUACUGCAGGUCUAGAGUACAGUUGCCGUUGGCGGAAUAUGACAUGUAGUGGUGAAAUACUUAGAUAUGUCAUAGAACACCGAUUGCGAAGGCAGCUAACGAAGCUGUAACUGACGCUGAGGCUCGAAAGUGCGGGGAUCAAAC